AUUUUGGCAGUGACGAAGAGUAGUAGCUAUUUUAUAUCACUUAAGAGAGCUGGUGGGUGGUGAAAACCAGUGUGUAAGAAUAGUGAAUGGACUUCUGAGCCCCAAACCGAACCCUAUAAGUGUGUGUUCAAAAAGGAGGAUAAAAAGGACCCGUCGGCUAAAGACGCUGACGUCCUGUCAGCAACGCCGACACUAGCACAUCCUGUGCGUCGAAAGUUCGAGGCGGCGCAGUUUCGAGCGGCGGAAUGUAUGCAGUAAGAUACAUGAGCAGCGCAGAAACAAGCCAACGAAGAAAUUCGAAGUGUCAUUUUUACCGGACUUUUUAAACAUCCCCUUCAAUAGGUUGUAGGCUUUGGCGUAAAGGUCUUGACGUUACGAAGACUAGGCAUAAGCAGAGCGUGUAAGCUUGUUGCUGUCAAAGUGAGCUGUUUUCAGCUAAUAAAGGUGGUACCACGGGUUCCUCGUCCUUUGG
RNAcentral lists this non-coding RNA (472 nucleotides) under Paracerasibacillus soli. RNAcentral's name for it is "Virgibacillus soli T-box sequence". It matches the Rfam family "T-box leader". Rfam says of the family: Uncharged tRNA acts as the effector for transcription antitermination of genes in the T-box leader family. T-boxes are found upstream of many aminoacyl-tRNA synthetase genes and some amino acid biosynthetic genes usually in Gram-positive bacteria. Lineage: Bacteria; Bacillati; Bacillota; Bacilli; Caryophanales; Bacillaceae. The record is from RNAcentral.